CUGCCCGUAGCAGGGGGAUAAGCGGAAGAAAUUCCGUCUAAUACCGCGUAACAACCCGAGGAGGCAUCUCCUCGGGUUUAAAGGAAGCGAUUCCGGCUACGGAUGGUCAUGCGUCGCAUUAGCUAGUUGGCGGGGUAACGGCCCACCAAGGCGAGGAUGCGUAGGGGUUCUGAGAGGAAGGUCCCCCACACUGGUACUGAGACACGGACCAGACUCCUACGGGAGGCAGCAGUGAGGAAUAUUGGUCAAUGGCCGCAGGGCUGAACCAGCCAAGUCGCGUGAGGGAUGACAGUCCUAUGGAUUGUAAACCUCUUUUGUCAGGGAGCAAAGGGCGCCACGUGUGGUGUUUUGCGAGUACCUGAAGAAAAAGCAUCGGCUAACUCCGUGCCAGCAGCCGCGGUAAUGCGGAGGAUGCGAGCGUUAUCCGGAUUUAUUGGGUUUAAAGGGUGCGCAGGCGGAAUGUCAAGUCAGCGGUAAAAUUUCGGGGCUCAACCCCGUCGUGCCGUUGAAACUGGCGUUCUUGAGUGAGCGAGAAGUAUGCGGAAUGCGUGGUGUAGCGGUGAAAUGCAUAGAUAUCACGCAGAACUCCGAUUGCGAAGGCAGCAUACCGGCGCUCAACUGACGCUCAUGCACGAAAGCGUGGGUAUCGAACAGGAUUAGAUACCCUGGUAGUCCACGCAGUAAACGAUGA
Molecule: ribosomal RNA, 691 nt
Filed under: uncultured bacterium
Lineage: Bacteria
Description: bacterial SSU rRNA
Rfam family: Bacterial small subunit ribosomal RNA
Source: RNAcentral